GAUGAACGCUGGCGGCGUGCCUAAUACAUGCAAGUCGAGCGAACAGACGAUGCGCUUGCUCCUCUCACGUUAGCCGAACGCGGGUGAGUCACGCGUGUAUACUCUCCCUAUCAGACUGGGAUAACUUCGAGAAUCCGGGGCUUAUACCGUAUAAUAUCUUGAACCGCAUGGUUCAAUAGUGAAAGUCGGUUUUUCUGUCACUUAUAGCUGGAUACGGGCCGCAUUGGAUAGUUGGUACGGUAACGGCUUUCCAAGGCUACGAUGCGUAGGCGAACUGAGAGAGUGAUCGGCCACACUGGAACGUAGACACGGUCCAGACUCCUACGGGAGGCAGCAGUAGGGAAUCUUCCGCAAUGGGCGAAAGCCUGACGGAGCAACGCCGCGUGAGUGAUGAAGGUCUUCGGAGCGUAAAACUCUGUUUUGAGGGAAGAACAAAUGUGGAAUUAACUAUGCACGUCUUGACGGUACCGAAUCAGAAAGCCACGGCUAACUACGUG
This 497-nucleotide ribosomal RNA is filed under the name uncultured bacterium. Its description in RNAcentral is "partial 16S ribosomal RNA". It matches the Rfam family "Bacterial small subunit ribosomal RNA", at positions 28 to 507 of the family's 1533-position model. The record is from RNAcentral.